GCCUCAGUAGCUCAGUUGGCCAGAGCAGCCGACUUGUAAUCGGCAGGUCGGGGGUUCGAAUCCCUCCUGGGGCUCCA
RNAcentral lists this transfer RNA (77 nucleotides) under Chloroflexota bacterium. Its description in RNAcentral is "Chloroflexi bacterium tRNA-Thr". It matches the Rfam family "tRNA". Rfam says of the family: Transfer RNA (tRNA) molecules are approximately 80 nucleotides in length. Their secondary structure includes four short double-helical elements and three loops (D, anti-codon, and T loops). Lineage: Bacteria; Bacillati; Chloroflexota. The record is from RNAcentral. RNAcentral also lists the same sequence under 2 other names.